CCUACGGGAGUCAGCAGUGAGGAAUAUUGGUCAAUGGACGAGAGUCUGAACCAGCCAAGUAGCGUGAGGGAUGACUGCCCUAUAGAUUGUAACCUUCUUUUAUAUGGGAAUAAAAUGUUCCACGUGUGGGAUUUUGUAUGUACCAUAUGAAUAAGGAUCGGCUAACUCCGUGCCCGCAGCCGCGGUAAUACAGAGGAUCCGAGAGUUAUCCGGAUUUAUUGGGGUUAAAGGUAGCGUAGGUGGAUUGUUAAGUCAGUUGUGAAAGUUUGCGGCUCAACCGGCAAAUUGCAGUUGAAACUGGCAGUGUUGAGUACAGUAGAGGUGUGCGGAAUUCGUGGUGUAGCGGUGAAAUGCUUAGAUAUCACGAAGAACUCCGAUUGCGAAGGCAGCUCACUGGACUGCAACUGACACUGAGGCUCGAAAGUGUGGGUAUCAAACAGGAUUAGAUACCCCAGUAGUC
This 460-nucleotide ribosomal RNA is filed under the name uncultured bacterium. Its description in RNAcentral is "partial 16S ribosomal RNA". It matches the Rfam family "Bacterial small subunit ribosomal RNA", at positions 338 to 795 of the family's 1533-position model. The record is from RNAcentral.